Molecule: ribosomal RNA, 496 nt
Filed under: uncultured bacterium
Lineage: Bacteria
Description: partial 16S ribosomal RNA
Rfam family: Bacterial small subunit ribosomal RNA
Source: RNAcentral
AUGAACGCUGGCGGCGUGCCUAAUACAUGCAAGUCGAGCGAACAGACGAGGAGCUUGCUCCUUUGACGUUAGCGGCGGACGGGUGAGUAACACGUAGGUAACCUACCUAUAAGACUGGGAUAACUUCGGGAAACCGGAGCUAAUACCGGAUAAUAUUUCGAACCGCAUGGUUCGAUAGUGAAAGAUGGCUUUGCUAUCACCUAUAGAUGGACCUGCGCCGUAUUAGCUAGUUGGUAAGGUAACGGCUUACCAAGGCAACGAUACGUAGCCGACCUGAGAGGGUGAUCGGCCACACUGGAACUGAGACACGGUCCAGACUCCUACGGGAGGCAGCAGUAGGGAAUCUUCCGCAAUGGGCGAAAGCCUGACGGAGCAACGCCGCGUGAGUGAUGAAGGUCUUCGGAUCGUAAAACUCUGUUAUUAGGGAAGAACAAACGUGUAAGUAACUGUGCACGUCUUGACGGUACCUAAUCAGAAAGCCACGGCUAACUACGUG